CACGUGCAUUUUGCACACCCACCCUUUGCACGCCCACCCCUUGCACGUGCAACCGUUGCACACUCGCUCCUCGCGUGCACGCCCCUUGCACAAAUGCCCCUUGCACGCCCUAUUUUGCACACACCCCCCUUUGCACGCCCGCCCCCGUGCGCAUGCAUUUUGCACACCCAACCCUGUGCACACCCAUCUUUGCACACGCACCCCGUGCACAGGCGGCCUUGCACUUGCAAGCUUUGCACGCGCACCCCUUGCACACCCACCCCGUGCACAAACAGCCCUUGCACCUGCAAGGUUUGCACACCCACCCCUUGCCAGCAGGUGCACCCCUUACACACUCACCCUCUGUACAUGCAAUUUGCACAUGCAUCCUUGCACACUCACCCAUGCACACUCCCUCCUUGUACAUGCAUGCUUUGCACGUACACCCCUUGCACAAUCACUCUGUGCACACUCACCCACGGACAAAAACCCCUUGCACACCCCACCCCAUGCACAGACACCCUGUGCACAAACACCCUGCAUACACUCACCCCGUGCAAACACCCCUUGCACACUCACUCCUUGCACACCCACACAUGCAUAAACUCCCCUUGCACACCCACCCCCUGAACACUUACCCCCUGCACAUGCAUGCUUUGCAAGUACACCGCUUGCACAAUCACCCUGUGCACACCCACCCAUGCACGAACACCACUUGCACACUCACCCCCGUGCACACUCGCCCAUGCACAAACCCCCCUUGCAAGCCCCACACCAUGCACAGACACACAUGCAUAAACUCCCCUCGCACAUCCACCCUGUUAAAGAACACCCCUUGCACACUCACCAUUGCAUACCCAGCCCCUGCACACUCACCCCGUGCACAGUCCCUCCGUGCACAUGCAUGCUUUGCACGUACACCCCUUGCACAGUCACCCUGUGCACACUCACCCACGCACAAACACCCCUUGCACACUCACCACGUGCACACCCCACCCCUUGCACACCCUACUUCAUGCACAAACACCCCUUGCACACUAACCUCUGCACACUCCCUCCGUGCACAUGCACACUUUGCAUGUACACCCCUUGCACACCCACCCAUGUACAAACACCCCUUGCACACUCAGCCUGUGAAUGCCCACCCCGUGCACACUCACCCAUACACUAAUGCCCGUUGCACACCCACCCUUGCACACUCACCCAUGCACACCCACCUCUUGCACACUCACCUCUUGCACACCCACCCCUUGCACACUCACCCCCUCCCUUCUCCCCCCCGUGCACGCCCACCCCUUGCACAAGCAGUUUCUCGGGGGUGGAGGGGGGCGGAGGG
This 1315-nucleotide long non-coding RNA is filed under the name Anas platyrhynchos platyrhynchos (common mallard). RNAcentral's name for it is "lncRNA (ENSAPLG00000017325.1)". The record is from RNAcentral. Lineage: Eukaryota; Metazoa; Chordata; Aves; Anseriformes; Anatidae.